RNAcentral lists this ribosomal RNA (479 nucleotides) under uncultured bacterium. RNAcentral describes it as "partial 16S ribosomal RNA". It matches the Rfam family "Bacterial small subunit ribosomal RNA", at positions 28 to 523 of the family's 1533-position model. The record is from RNAcentral.
GACGAACGCUGGCGGCGUGCUUAACACAUGCAAGUCGAGCGAUGAAGCACCUUCGGGUGUGAAUUAGCGGCGAACGGGUGAGGAACACGUGAGAAAUCUGCCUUCAACACUGGGAUAACUCCGGGAAACCGGGGCUAAUACCGGAUAUGAAACCUGCGGGCAUCCGCGGGUUUGGAAAGUUUUUCGGUUGAAGAUGAUCUCGCGGCCUAUCAGCUUGUUGGUGAGGUAAUGGCUCACCAAGGCGACGACGGGUAGCCGGCCUGAGAGGGCGACCGGCCAAACUGGGACGGGGACACAGCCCAGAGUCCUACGGGAGGCAGCAGUGGGGAAUAUUGGGCAAUGGAGGAAGCUCUGACCCAGCGACGCCGCGUGCGGGAUGAAGGCCUUCGGGUUGUAAACCGCUUUCAGCAGGGAAGAAGCGAAAGUGACGGUACCUGCAGAAGAAGCACCGGCUAACUAUGUGCCAGCCGCCGCAGUAA